GGGGAAUAUUGCACAAUGGGGGAAACCCUGAUGCAGCGACGCCGCGUGGAGGAAGAAGGUCUUCGGAUUGUAAACUCCUGUUGUUGGGGAAGAUAAUGACGGUACCCAACAAGGAAGUGACGGCUAACUACGUGCCAGCAGCCGCGGUAAAACGUAGGUCACAAGCGUUGUCCGGAAUUACUGGGUGUAAAGGGAGCGCAGGCGGGAAGACAAGUUGGAAGUGAAAUCUAUGGGCUCAACCCAUAAACUGCUUUCAAAACUGUUUUUCUUGAGUAGUGCAGAGGUAGGCGGAAUUCCCGGUGUAGCGGUGGAAUGCGUAGAUAUCGGGAGGAACACCAGUGGCGAAGGCGGCCUACUGGGCACCAACUGACGCUGAGGCUCGAAAGUGUGGGUAGCAAACAGGAUUAGAUACCCUGGUAGUCCACACCGUAAACGAUGAUUACUAGGUGUUGGAGGAUUGACCCCUUCAGUGCCGCAGUUAACACAAUAAGUAAUCCACCUGGGGAGUACGACCGCAAGGUUGAAACUCAAAGGAAUUGACGGGGGCCCGCACAAGCAGUGGAGUAUGUGGUUUAAUUCGACGCAACGCGAAGAACCUUACCAAGUCUUGACAUCCCUUGACAGGCAUAGAAAUAUGUUUUCUCUUCGGAGCAAGGAGACAGGUGGUGCAUGGUUGUCGUCAGCUCGUGUCGUGAGAUGUUGGGUUAAGUCCCGCAACGAGCGCAACCCUUAUGGUCAGUUACUACGCAAGAGGACUCUGGCCAGACUGCCGUUGACAAAACGGAGGAAGGUGGGGAUGACGUCAAAUCAUCAUGCCCUUUAUGACUUGGGCUACACACGUACUACAAUGGCGUUAAACAAAGAGAAGCAAGACCGCGAGGUGGAGCAAAACUCAGAAACAACGUCCCAGUUCGGACUGCAGGCUGCAACUCGCCUGCACGAAGUCGGAAUUGCUAGUAAUCGUGGAUCAGCAUGCCACGGUGAAUACGUUCCCG
This 995-nucleotide ribosomal RNA is filed under the name uncultured bacterium. RNAcentral's name for it is "bacterial SSU rRNA". It matches the Rfam family "Bacterial small subunit ribosomal RNA", at positions 356 to 1376 of the family's 1533-position model. RNAcentral also lists the same sequence under 1 other name. The record is from RNAcentral.